GUGAGGGGAUGACUGGUGACAGAGUGAGGGAGGGAGUGGGUAACUAGUGACAGAGGGAGGGGUGACUAGGGACAGAGUGAGGGAGAUGGUGACUAGUGACUAGUGACAGUCACCACCUCUGUCACUAGUCACCACCUCCCUCCCUCUGUCACCAGUCAUCCCCUUACUCUGUCACUAGUCACCCCUUCCUUCCCUCACUCUGCCACUAGUCACCCCUUCCCUCACUCUGUCACUAGUCACCCCCUCAC
This is a non-coding RNA of Pelobates cultripes (western spadefoot toad), 248 nucleotides long. NCBI's taxonomy places the organism in Eukaryota, Metazoa, Chordata, Amphibia, Anura, Pelobatidae. The record is from the annotation of a GenBank genome assembly.